This is a long non-coding RNA of Leopardus geoffroyi (Geoffroy's cat), 599 nucleotides long. RefSeq lists it as uncharacterized. The record is from RefSeq and is a predicted model, not a curated record. The transcript is spliced from 3 exons. NCBI's taxonomy places the organism in Eukaryota, Metazoa, Chordata, Mammalia, Carnivora, Felidae.
AGAGUGCUGGUUUCUGACACGCAGGCCCUGAGGCAAGUCUUGCUGUGGGAAGAUAAACAGGUUUUUAUUACCUCCACCUUAGGACAAAGCCUCAACCUCUGGCUGCUGUAAGAGGCUCAUUCCCAGGAAGAAAAAUGACCUCCAGCUGCAGUAGGUGUAUGCGACACCUCCCUGGCUGGACUGUGAGCUCCUUGAAGCUUUGUUACCUGUGGUGGGGAAGAGUAAGAGAGAAUUCCGUCCAAUGUCAUGAUCCCAACGAGGAAGCAGUACAGAGAUCAAGCCCUGGAAAUCUUUCAAUCCAGCAUUUCAGCAAGAAACAAACCACAGGGCAACAGUGUAAGAGGAUGCUGACCACCAGGCUUUGACUGAGAACUAAUGGGGGACAGGACCUCUCACUCUGGCCUGGACCUCUUCCAGCCUUGGUUUGCUUUGAGUGUUGGUGGCCUCUGCAAAGAUUUUCAACCCCACCAUUCACAUCUCUGAAUCUCCCACAGCAUCAAGCAGAGCAGCAGGACGAAGUACACACUCGUAAAUAAUUGAAAAGAAUCCCUAUAAAGUUUGAACUCAUUCAUUGAACACUGCCUAGGAUUAUUAGUAUA